UCUCUGCAGAAAGUCAUGUGAAAAGUCUGUAAACAAAGAUACUCUGACAAAGAUAUUCACAAACAGAGACACCACUUUAAUUUAUACGUUGAGCAUGCUAAAAAAGCGCUAGCACAGAGUAGUCUUGCAUACAAACAGACCAAGGCCAAAUAAGUUGACAAGUUAACAUUGCAGUCAUUCAACUUUUGGAUCCACAUGAUAAUGCAGUGUACCUCAUGCAAGAGAACAGCUAAGACAAUGAUAGGACAAAGAACAAUGGAAUGUCUUCUGUGGUUGCUAGCUGAGACCCUCUACGCUUGACUCUGUCUAUUGGUUGGAUCAUGAAGCCGUCAAAACAUCCAGAAUGCAAAAGAAUCGGAUCAUGUGGUUGUACCAUACUGGACAAGCUGAGAGUGUGUAUGGAGGAGCAGCCAGGCACUUGAAGGGGACCAAGCACACACACUCUAGUUCAGGCAAAUCAAGGAAGCCCUUGAACAAGAGUUGGUCAAACAAGCCGAUCCAAACACACUACAACAAAGAAGAUCCCACCCACUAACAAACAGCCUCAGGGCUCGGAACAACUGCACCCGUCAUGGGCAGCCAGUAAGAAGUGGAAAGAAAUGGAGAACAGAAUCUUAGGGAUAGACUUACCGUAAGAUCUCGAUUUAAAGCGACACUUUUUAAUAAUUACGAAGCCAGAGGUCGCAUCUUUUGGAGGUUGAAAAAUUAUAUUGAAGUCCUGGUGUCGCAUAUUUAGAGGGUCGCAUCUAAUUGGAGGUAACUUUACAGAGUCUACUUGCCUCGAUUUCAGGCCGCUUAAAAACACUGAUUUUCCAGUGGGCUACAAUCGAGGCUAGGGAGUGGCUACAUUUACCUCUAUUUAGAACGCGACAUUAAAAAAUAAUUGUCAACGCAGCUGUCGCUACUUUUAGAGGUCAGAAAAUUGCUGAAGCUCCUGGGUGUCGCAUAUUUGGAGGGUCGCCUUAAAUCGAGGUCUUACGGUAGACUAAUUAUUUACGUAAAUGAAUGUGGUUUCCAAACAGAUUAUUAUUGAAUACAAACGUUGUUGUAGCAGCAUGCACUAUUAACUGUAGUGGCACAGAUAAAGCUAACUAUCAUCUAUCUUCAGUUAAUAAGUACAAUGCCUUGUCCCAGUCUCUGCCUGACUUUUGGUAUGGAUUCACGAAUCUUCUCUCUCAACCUAAAUACUUGACACCCUGAGAGUAGGUGUGAAGAGAGAAAAAUACACUGUUAAUCAGUUGCUUGCUUGGAAUACUCACAGCUACUAAAUACUGAGAGACAUGUGUGCGUGUGAUGGUAAUGACAUUGAGCGUAUUUAGUCACUCCAGGAACAGCAGUUACAAUAGAGCUACAUGUAUUUAGGUAGCAUUUGGAGAAGACAACAAAUACUUGCCACGUCACGUACAGCACAGUUUAAUAAUACAGCCAUGCUUUAUUUAUGUGUAGAUCUAUAUAGUAGGUAAUACAUUAGUUGAAACAUAAGCCUUGUAUGAUAACGAGAGCUCGCUCAAUAAAGUGCUCUAUAAACAACCAAAAUUAUAAACUAGAGCACUAAAGUGCAAACCCUCGGCUGGUGACAUGAUUAUAAAGAAACCAGAAGAGUGAUAUAUUGCAGUGCAUAUAGUGAUGUUGUUAUCAUGUAUGACUUGCACAGCAACUCAGGAGCAAUAAACUAAACCAGACUGGAGGAAACAUUUGAGAACAGGUAGUGGUACUAUAGAUAUAUGCACUGUGGAUUAGGAUCACAGUAAAGAAGCCUGAAGUCUCAAAGAAGUAUGGCUCCAGGUUCUGCAUGGAGUAGGAUCCCAGUCAGCAGGAGCUAUAUUACAAGCUUUCUACUUUAGUGACCCUGUUCCAUUGUUCCUUGUUUGUAUCAGUAAAGCGUUAUACAAAAUGCAAAACUUAAUGUAAUGAUCUUUACCAAAAACAUUGAUGCCUUGUUAGACACCUAUUAUGCUAAGAUUAUGGCAAACAUGUUAGCAUAUCGGAUGGGAGAACAAUAAUUAUUUAUAUGCAUGUACAUAUGUCAAUAUUGGGAACUACCGUAUAGCGCGAAAUUUUCGAGGGGCUUAAUUUUUUGCUGAUUUCGUGGGUUAGCAAUCCUACACGAAAAUUAAGUCCACGACAAUUGUUGAAUUAUCUGCUAUAUAUGCAAAGAUUAAAGGCGUGGCUUCCAGUAAGCAGUCAUUCCAUGAACAUUGUGCAACGAAAUGCUUUUAGAGGCCAUUCAGUGCCUCGAAAAUUUCGCGCUAUACGGUAUAUAUUAUAAUUAUUAUAGCCUAAGUGCAUGGCACAAUUUCAUUAGUCAACACACCAAAGAUUAUACACACUGCACUCCGCAUGUAUAUCUUGAACAUGUGCAUGUUGACAUUAUUCAUUGUUGUAUGAAUCCCAUUGAUAAUACAUAUCCGGUCUCCUACUAAAUUGGAGUGCAUGCAUGUUAUAGUUACAUGAAAUUCUUAUAUAUAAUACCUACAUAAAAAUCUGUAGGCAUUGUAUAAGAGUAUACCAAAAAGUGACGAUAAUACAACCUUGCAAAUGCAGAAAACCUCCAUCAUAAACCAAAAGUAGAUUGACUUCAACAUGGGCAGUAACAUCUCUGUCAACGAUCCUGCACUUCGAGAAGGAUGGAAUGCCACUAUAAGAGCGUAUUUGGGUUCGUUUGCUGAUAUUUAUGGGAGAGAAGUAGCCGCAUGGACCAUCAAUUUAGUUGCAGAAAUCGCAUUGAAUAUUGCACGAAAGGUUCAAAACACGUUAGACGGAAAUUUUUUAACGACUCUAACUCAAAUUGGUGACCUUGCCCGUUACACUGUUAAUAAAACAGUCGCCAGUUGCAUUAUCCCAGCACUCCCUGCCGUGACAACUGUAGUUCAGAAUAUAACCACUAAUUAUUUGGCAACUAACCAAAAAUUUGUUGACUUUUGCGAUCUACUCCUUGGAAAAAUUGUGAAUAAGGUCUUAACUCAUCCUGUUGUUAUGGAAAGUUUCAAGGGUGUAUUAACACACCUCUUGACUCAGCUUGGUGGUGAGGGGCCUAUUUCCGGUGCUAUUGCUACAAUUCUAACAGAUGCCAUAUCACAACUUUCACAAAAGGCUGCCGGUAGCGUUGUACCCGAUCUAGCAACAAGUGCACUAGUGGCCUACAAGGGAAGCAGAACAGACACAGCAAUUACUCAUACUAGAAACGUCUUCGUAACUUCAGUAACCGUCAACGGUGUUGGGCUCCUGGUCAAUCUUUUGUAUUCAUUUUAUCUGUAUCGAGUAGAACAGCGUAUCACAGGAGAUGAGUACAAGCAAUACGCAAAGAAGCAAAUCAAAGCUACAUGUGGUACAAUUGUUGGUGGUACUGCCGGGGGAUAUGUUGCUAUCCUUAUAGCACCUAACCAAUUCUAUAUAAAAAUGAUGGGAGGAGUGCUGGGAGGACUUAUUGGCGAGCAAGUCGGUAUCAGGAUAUAGAUGUCUUUACUCUUGAAAUUGUAACAUGCAAUAGCUAGCUACAGAAUUUGUCGAACUAUCUAUAUUACUUUAAACAUGUGUAUUGUGAUUAUAAUGGUUGAUACUAUUUAAGUGCUAA
Molecule: long non-coding RNA, 3574 nt
Organism: Halichondria panicea
Lineage: Eukaryota; Metazoa; Porifera; Demospongiae; Suberitida; Halichondriidae
Exons: 4
Source: RefSeq, a predicted model, not a curated record